RNAcentral lists this ribosomal RNA (497 nucleotides) under uncultured bacterium. Its description in RNAcentral is "partial 16S ribosomal RNA". It matches the Rfam family "Bacterial small subunit ribosomal RNA", at positions 28 to 507 of the family's 1533-position model. The record is from RNAcentral.
GACGAACGCUGGCGGCGUGCCUAACACAUGCAAGUCGAGCGAAGAGACUAGGACCUUCUUCCGUUGAUGAUUGCCGAGCGCGUGAGUGACACACGUGCAAACUCCACCUAUCAGACGGGGAAAACCUCGAAAAACCGGCUCAUACACCGGACAAUAUAUUUAACCGUAUGCACUAUCAGGGAAAGUCGGUGUUUCUGUAUCGUAUCGCUGCAUCCGCGCCGCAUUAGCUAGUUGGUAAGGUCACGGCUUACCACGGCGACGAUGCGUAGCCGAACUGAGAGGGUGAUCGGCCACACUGGAACUGAGACACGGUCCAGACUCCUACGGGAGGCAGCAGUAGGGAAUCUUCCGCAAUGGGCGAAAGCCUGACGGAGCAACGCCGCGUGAGUGAUGAAGGUCUUCGGAUCGUAAAACUCUGUUAUUAGGGAAGAACAAAUGUGUAAGUAACUAUGCACGUCUUGACGGUACCUAAUCAGAAAGCCACGGCUAACUACGUG